Molecule: ribosomal RNA, 338 nt
Filed under: Pheidole inquilina
Lineage: Eukaryota; Metazoa; Arthropoda; Insecta; Hymenoptera; Formicidae
Description: partial 12S ribosomal RNA
Source: RNAcentral
UAAUAAAUAAAAAUUGUUAAUAAUAAAUUAAAUGGAAUCAUUAAAUUUAAAGAAUUUGGCGGUAUUUUAAAUAAUUAGAGGAAUUUGUUAAUUAAAUGAUAAUCCACGAGUGGAGGGUCCUAAUAGAGUUUUAUAUAUUGUUGUAUAAAAAUUAUUUUAUAAGAAAAAUAAUUAAAAAAUUUAAUUUAAUUUGAAUUCAAAUCAAAAUGUAGAGUUAUUAGGGUUGGAUGAAUUACAAUUUAAUUUAGUAACGGAAUUAUUUUUUUAAAAGGAUAAUGAAGUAGGAUUUAAUAGUAAAUUUGAAAAAAUUUUUAGAUUGAAUAAUAAAUUAAAAUAUG